Molecule: ribosomal RNA, 194 nt
Organism: Cladophialophora psammophila CBS 110553
Lineage: Eukaryota; Fungi; Ascomycota; Eurotiomycetes; Chaetothyriales; Herpotrichiellaceae
Rfam family: Eukaryotic large subunit ribosomal RNA
Source: Rfam
UGUCUAAUGAAAACAUAGCGUUGCGAUGGCCAGAAAGUGGUGUUGUCGCAAUGUGUUGUCUGCCCGGUGCUCUGAAUGUCAAAGUGAAGUAAUUCAAAUAAGCGCGGGUAAACGGCGGGAGUGUUAGGACAUUGCUCCCUACUGCCGCCUGGUCCACAACUUCCUCAUCAUUCAGAUCUAAGCAGAAAAGCACA